UAUCAAAUGCGGAAGCGAAGACAAAAUUGAUUAACAUCCCUUACACUAAAACCAAAAACGUGCUCACAAAAUAUAAAAGAUUAAACUACCUAAAGGGGAAACUUGAAAGUAAAAACUACGAAUGUGACUAUGGAGUCCUUAGGCGUCCCCUUCGUCGUCCUCCUGCGGAACCGGCUCGGGAACGAUGUCCUCUUGAUCUGAAAUGAUUAAAUAAGGAAUGAGCUACACUAGGCCAGUAAAGACAUCACGAUAUCUCACCGUCACGGAGGUAAAGGUGGGUAGAAAACACAAAAGACCAAUGGAGCAUGAUUUACGACAAAUCCUUUUAUUAAUAAUAAAACCUUUACCAUCCACUUACCUCGGUGGAAUUUAUAAAACAAUAUACGAAAGCAAUAACAUUAUCAUAAUCAUGGAAUCAUAUAAACUGUAAAACAUAACACUUAUCACGCCUUUUGUAAUUCAAUCAUUAUACAACAUAUCUUUUCCUUAUUUACCAGCCUACUAGUAUCCGUGGGGGUCCAUAGGGGUCCCGCUACCCGUUAACCUUUAACAUUCGUCAUCGGAUUCCAGGGCCGUCCCCAUACCCCGUCCGGUAUGGGCGCCAAAACCAUAAAUCUCAAUACCCCGUCCGGUAUGAGGGUGAAACGGGCCGUCCCCAUACCCCGUCCGGUAUGGGCGCCAAAACACACAAGAUCUCCAUACCCCGUCCGGUAUGGGCGCCAAAACACACAAGAUCUCCAUACCCCGUCCGGUAUGGGAGACCACAAUCCCGGUAGGGUUCCCUACGGACCCGGUCCGUCCACCAUCUCCCAGGAUAUCUAGUCGGACUGAACACAUUAUACAAUUUUCAUUCACAUAAUCUUUCAUUCUCCUUUUCCCUCAGUCAGCAUUAUCAAUCACAUACAAACAAGCAAAACGAUAAUUUAUGCCAAACAGACAACAUAUAGCACCAAUAUCCCGGUCAUUCAAU
This 970-nucleotide long non-coding RNA is filed under the name Carica papaya (papaya). RNAcentral's name for it is "long non-coding RNA (CPAP_LNC015038)". Lineage: Eukaryota; Viridiplantae; Streptophyta; Magnoliopsida; Brassicales; Caricaceae. The record is from RNAcentral.